AUGGUGGACAAGCUUGUGAUGCUGAAAUAACUAAUCCUCUGUAUGAGAAUGUAACUGCUGCUCAACAUGGCUCUAAUACCUGUAAACCUGAACCGAACUCUUCUGUGUAUGAAAAUAUUCCAACGAAGAAGAUGAAGUAGUGUUUUGGAACCACAGAAAGUUGUACAACUUUUAUAAAUCUCUUUGUGGGUAUAGACCUGGAGAUUUCAUGAUAUGUUUGAAGUAAUUUGAAGAUCAUAUGAGUUCAAAUAGCAGUUAAAAGUUAAUGAAUUGUAAAAGUGUCUAAUCACUUAACCCUCUGGUAUUGUUCAUUUUGGAGUCGCACUUAUGUUGUCCGUGGUCAAAAGUAAACAGACACCCGAAAUGUAACAACAAUUUCUUUUUUUUUUUUCAGUA
Carassius auratus (goldfish) is the source of this 396-nucleotide long non-coding RNA. RefSeq lists it as uncharacterized. The transcript has 3 exons. NCBI's taxonomy places the organism in Eukaryota, Metazoa, Chordata, Actinopteri, Cypriniformes, Cyprinidae. The record is from RefSeq and is a predicted model, not a curated record.